Molecule: transfer RNA, 65 nt
Filed under: Ictidomys tridecemlineatus (thirteen-lined ground squirrel)
Lineage: Eukaryota; Metazoa; Chordata; Mammalia; Rodentia; Sciuridae
Description: Spermophilus tridecemlineatus (thirteen-lined ground squirrel) tRNA
Rfam family: tRNA
About the family: Transfer RNA (tRNA) molecules are approximately 80 nucleotides in length. Their secondary structure includes four short double-helical elements and three loops (D, anti-codon, and T loops). Further hydrogen bonds mediate the characteristic L-shaped molecular structure. tRNAs have two regions of fundamental functional importance: the anti-codon, which is responsible for specific mRNA codon recognition, and the 3' end, to which the tRNAs corresponding amino acid is attached (by aminoacyl-tRNA synthetases). tRNAs cope with the degeneracy of the genetic code in two manners: having more than one tRNA (with a specific anti-codon) for a particular amino acid; and 'wobble' base-pairing, i.e. permitting non-standard base-pairing at the 3rd anti-codon position.
Source: Rfam by way of RNAcentral
UGUGAUGUAGCUCAGUGGUUGAGAGCUUGUCUGCAAUGCCCUGGAUUCAAUCCCCAGCAUCACAA